Molecule: ribosomal RNA, 505 nt
Filed under: uncultured bacterium
Lineage: Bacteria
Description: bacterial SSU rRNA
Rfam family: Bacterial small subunit ribosomal RNA
Source: RNAcentral
GACGAACGCUGGCGGCGUGCUUAACACAUGCAAGUCGAGCGGCAGCGCGGGAGCAAUCCUGGCGGCGAGCGGCGAACGGGUGAGUAAUGCUUCGGAAUCUGCCCUUCAGUGGGGAAUAACCAGUCGAAAGACUGGCUAAUACCGCAUACGAACUGAGGUUGAAAGCAGGGGAUCGCAAGACCUUGCGCUGAUGGAUGAGCCGAAGUCGGAUUAGCUAGUUGGUAGGGUAACGGCCUACCAAGGCGACGAUCCGUAGCUGGUCUGAGAGGACGACCAGCCACACUGGGACUGAGACACGGCCCAGACUCCUACGGGAGGCAGCAGUGGGGAAUAUUGGACAAUGGGGGCAACCCUGAUCCAGCGACGCCGCGUGUGUGAAGAAGGCCUUCGGGUUGUAAACCGCUUUUGUCAGGGAAGAAAGUUCCGGGUUAAUACCCUGGGAUGCUGACGGUACCUGAAGAAUAAGACACCGGACUAACUACGUGCCAGCAGCCGCGGUAAAACG